Diospyros lotus (date-plum) is the source of this 441-nucleotide long non-coding RNA. RefSeq lists it as uncharacterized. The transcript is spliced from 2 exons. NCBI's taxonomy places the organism in Eukaryota, Viridiplantae, Streptophyta, Magnoliopsida, Ericales, Ebenaceae. The record is from RefSeq and is a predicted model, not a curated record.
AGGUGUUUUCAGUAAUUUGCUGCACACCGCCUAUUUCUCCGCAAAACCCUAAAUUCCUGAUUUUGCAGUAUUUAGCAGAUGCGAAUAACGAGCAAGCAAGCUAUUUCUAUGGCUAUCUUUCCUCUCUAUUCCCUAUAGAGAAAUGUGGAUUGGCUGUGAGCAGUGUUUCUUGCAAAUUUCUGAUUUAAUAUGAGCAUGCGGGGGUUCCUAUGAUGGCAUGGAAUCAUCAGACCUGAUUGUCUAAUUUGAUGAGAGUUCAACAUUUGUUCUACUGAGGAUCCCCUUGAACUUUUCUUUUCUUUUUUUACAUAUUGAUUUAUACAUCAGAUCAAAACUUGUUGGAUAUUCAUCUUCCGAAGGAAGGAAAUUGAGAGAUUACGAAUAUAUGUUUUCUUUUUCCCUAGCGGGGGACGCAGAAAAUAGAAUUAUUUUAAAGUUUUA